AUUGAACGCUGGCGGCAUGCUUUACACAUGCAAGUCGAACGGUAACAGGCCUUCGGGUGCUGACGAGUGGCGAACGGGUGAGUAAUGCAUCGGAACGUGCCCAGAGGUGGGGGAUAACGCAGCGAAAGCUGUGCUAAUACCGCAUGUGAUCUGAGGAUGAAAGCGGGGGACCAGGCAGCAAUGUUUGGCCUCGCGCCUUUGGAGCGGCCGAUGUCAGAUUAGGUAGUUGGUGGGGUAAAGGCCUACCAAGCCGACGAUCUGUAGCUGGUCUGAGAGGACGACCCGCCACAAUUGGACCGAGACAAGGCCCAGACCCCUUAGGGAGGCAGCAGUGGGGAAUUUUGGACAAUGGGCGCAAGCCUGAUCCAGCAAUGCCGCGUGCGGGAAGAAGGCCUUCGGGUUGUAAACCGCUUUUGUACGGAACGAAAAGGCUCUGGCUAAUACCUGGGGCUGAUGACGGUACCGUAAGAAUAAGCACCGGCUAACUACGUGC
Molecule: ribosomal RNA, 493 nt
Filed under: uncultured bacterium
Lineage: Bacteria
Description: partial 16S ribosomal RNA
Rfam family: Bacterial small subunit ribosomal RNA
Source: RNAcentral